AUACUGCUGAAGAGUCCCAAAACUAAGACGGAGGAAACAGUUGUCCAGUAC
RNAcentral lists this non-coding RNA (51 nucleotides) under Trichobilharzia regenti. The record is from RNAcentral. Lineage: Eukaryota; Metazoa; Platyhelminthes; Trematoda; Strigeidida; Schistosomatidae.